Molecule: long non-coding RNA, 850 nt
Organism: Fundulus heteroclitus (mummichog)
Lineage: Eukaryota; Metazoa; Chordata; Actinopteri; Cyprinodontiformes; Fundulidae
Exons: 2
Source: RefSeq, a predicted model, not a curated record
ACAACGGAAAACAAGGACGCUAAACAGUUCCUACCACAGCUACAACAGAUCACAUAAGCAGGGAGUAAACAACCAGAUCACCGUGGCCACAGCACCUUUUUUUCUGUCAGCUCUGCUUCGUCGUCCGUCCAGGUGAGUCCAGGUGCUGAAGGAUCAGGGAGCUCCAGCAGUGAGGGACCUUCAGGGAGGAGGAGUCCUUUAGGUCUGGAUCUGGAUGAACGGCUUGGGAUCUCAUUAAAAGUGGAAGAACUGAUCUUUUGAUUUCAUACCCUCUAAAUAUUAUCAGAGUUUGUGUGGUUUGGUUGAAAUGUUUUUUAUUAUUAUUAUAAACUGAAUUGUUUUUUCUUUACUUUUCUUUUGGUUUUCUGCUCUGCAGGUAUUGCUCCUGAUUUAUUUUUAUUUUUCUAACCUUAAACCUAAAUAAUUUUUCAAUUUUGGGACCAAAAAUAUACUGUUGGGGAAUUAUUUAGAGUUACUGGCAAUGAUUUGUGGGAAAAAUGGGCAACAUCUCUCAAACUGUUACUCGGAUUUUAACAUUUUUUACAUUUCUAGUGUAAAGUCAAACUUUUUUUAGUAUUAGAUUGGUGUUUUAUCUUAUAUCCUCUAAAAGUAAUAACAUUUGAUCCUAGCAUAUUAAAAUGUAUGGUUUAAAACUAUUUUUGUGUCCAAGACACUGUCUUUUUUGUUUCUAUUAUAGCUGUUUUGUGCUACUGUACAACUACAAAGAAUGGAUAUAAUUUAGUACUUUUCUCCUCAUAUCUGAAGUUUCAAUUAGUUCAUUUUGCUAAAUUAAAGCAAAACAAAAACUUUUAUUUCUUACUCUAGAUUUUUCUCUUUAGGCUUUUUUUUU